UUUGCAAAUUUUGCAAAUUUUGUAUACUUUUGUAUUGCAUGCGAAAAUUGCAAUACAAAAUUAUACAAAAUUUGCAAACUUUGGAAAGCUAU
Molecule: microRNA precursor, 92 nt
Filed under: Paramuricea clavata
Lineage: Eukaryota; Metazoa; Cnidaria; Anthozoa; Malacalcyonacea; Plexauridae
Source: RNAcentral